Mauremys reevesii (Reeves's turtle) is the source of this 183-nucleotide long non-coding RNA. RefSeq lists it as uncharacterized. The record is from RefSeq and is a predicted model, not a curated record. The transcript has 3 exons. NCBI's taxonomy places the organism in Eukaryota, Metazoa, Chordata, Testudines, Geoemydidae.
GUGAAGCUGGAAGCUCCAGCUUUUGAAAUGUAUAAGAGGGACAACAAUUUCAGUUCAUUCAAGGACCAAAUUUUCAGGAUGACCUCCUUUAUGUGUAUGCAGUUCCAGCUGAAUCACUGAAACAAGAGACUCCCAUCUGAGGUUACUGCAAUUUCAUGGAUUUCCCACUGAGUGUAUAUGCCG